CCUUGUACACACCGCCCGUCACGCCAUGGGAGUUGGUUUCACCCGAAGGUGGUGCGCUAACCCGUAAGGGAGGCAGCCAACCACGGUGGGAUCAGCGACUGGGGUG
This 106-nucleotide ribosomal RNA is filed under the name uncultured bacterium. RNAcentral's name for it is "partial 16S ribosomal RNA". It matches the Rfam family "Bacterial small subunit ribosomal RNA", at positions 1379 to 1482 of the family's 1533-position model. The record is from RNAcentral.